This 420-nucleotide ribosomal RNA is filed under the name Staphylococcus haemolyticus. Its description in RNAcentral is "partial 23S ribosomal RNA". It matches the Rfam family "Bacterial large subunit ribosomal RNA", at positions 2279 to 2698 of the family's 2925-position model. RNAcentral also lists the same sequence under 1 other name. The record is from RNAcentral. Lineage: Bacteria; Bacillati; Bacillota; Bacilli; Caryophanales; Staphylococcaceae.
GCGGUCGCCUCCUAAAAGGUAACGGAGGCGCUCAAAGGUUCCCUCAGAAUGGUUGGAAAUCAUUCAUAGAGUGUAAAGGCAUAAGGGAGCUUGACUGCGAGACCUACAAGUCGAGCAGGGUCGAAAGACGGACUUAGUGAUCCGGUGGUUCCGCAUGGAAGGGCCAUCGCUCAACGGAUAAAAGCUACCCCGGGGAUAACAGGCUUAUCUCCCCCAAGAGUUCACAUCGACGGGGAGGUUUGGCACCUCGAUGUCGGCUCAUCGCAUCCUGGGGCUGUAGUCGGUCCCAAGGGUUGGGCUGUUCGCCCAUUAAAGCGGUACGCUAGCUGGGUUCAGAACGUCGUGAGACAGUUCGGUCCCUAUCCGUCGUGGGCGUAGGAAAUUUGAGAGGAGCUGUCCUUAGUACGAGAGGACCGGGAU